UACGUAAGGGGCAAGCGUUAUCCGGAUUUACUGGGUGUAAAGGGAGCGCAGGCGGUAUAGCAAGUCUGAUGUGAAAGGCCGGGGCUUAACCCCGGGACUGCAUUGGAAACUGUUAAACUAGAUUGCAGGAGAGGUAAGUGGAAUUCCUAGUGUAGCGGUGAAAUGCGUAGAUAUUAGGAGGAACACCAGUGGCGAAGGCGGCUUACUGGACUGUAAAUGACGCUGAGGCUCGAAAGCGUGGGGAGCAAACAGG
This 253-nucleotide ribosomal RNA is filed under the name uncultured bacterium. RNAcentral describes it as "partial 16S ribosomal RNA". It matches the Rfam family "Bacterial small subunit ribosomal RNA", at positions 524 to 776 of the family's 1533-position model. The record is from RNAcentral.